GGAGUUUAUCUGGUCAUGCUUGUUUUAGUUGUUAUUCAAUCCUCACAAAUCUCUAAAGAGGACUGAUGGGAGAAAUACUUCUGCGUAUGUUUAUAAAUAAAGUACUUGCUUGGCCAAUGAGACAGCAGGUUAGGCUGGACUAGGAGUCAAAGAGAAUUCUGGGAAAUGUAGUAGAGAAAUGGUGUUCCAGACAGGAAGUGACAUAGCAAGGAGACUCAUAUUUAAGAAGAGGAAAAAGGAAGUGUCGCUCUCUUUCCCCUCGGCUCCUGCUCCAGCGGCACGAUGUGAUCCACCAGCUAGGAGGGACGCCAAUAAGGCGUCCAAUAAGAAUGGUGUCAGAAGUGGGAUAACUCCAUGCCCAAAGGUUCCCAGAGAAAGAGAUUCAGUAUACAACAAAAUGCCUAACACUGUUUUCAACAUCUAA
This 424-nucleotide long non-coding RNA is filed under the name Cricetulus griseus (Chinese hamster). RNAcentral describes it as "lncRNA (ENSCGRG00000025390.1)". Lineage: Eukaryota; Metazoa; Chordata; Mammalia; Rodentia; Cricetidae. The record is from RNAcentral.